This 253-nucleotide ribosomal RNA is filed under the name uncultured bacterium. Its description in RNAcentral is "partial 16S ribosomal RNA". It matches the Rfam family "Bacterial small subunit ribosomal RNA", at positions 524 to 776 of the family's 1533-position model. The record is from RNAcentral.
GACAGAGGUGCCAAGCGUUAGGCGGAAUCACUGGGCUUAAAGCGUGUGUAGGCGGAUCGUUAAGUGUCUUGUGAAAUCCCACGGCUCACCCGUGGAACUGCUGGGCAUACUGGCGAUCUUGGGCCAACUAGGGGCAACUGGAACAAGCGGUGGAGCGGUGAAAUGCGUAGAUAUCGCUUGGAACGCCGAAGGUGAAAACAGGUUGCUGGGGUUGUGCCGACGCUGAGACACGAAAGCCAGGGGAGCAAACGGG